GGAGCCGGCCAGACAGUCGCGUCAUCGGAAACGGUGCCGAGGAAAGUCCGGGCUCCACAGGGCACGGUGCCAGGUAACGCCUGGGCGGGGCGACCCGACGGAAAGUGCAACAGAGAGCAGACCGCCGAUGGCCCUCACGGGAUCAGGCAAGGGUGAAACGGUGCGGUAAGAGCGCACCGCGAGUCCGGCAACGGACCGGCACGGCAAACCCCACCGGGAGCAAGACCAAAUAGGGAGGCGAUGCCGCGGCCCGCGGUGCCUCCGGGUAGGUUGCUUGAGCGCAGGGGGUGACCCCUCGCCGAGAGGAAUGACUGUCCACGACAGAACCCGGCUUACCGGCCGGCUCCGCCA
This 351-nucleotide RNase P RNA is filed under the name Lysobacter sp. N42. RNAcentral describes it as "Bacterial RNase P class A". It matches the Rfam family "Bacterial RNase P class A". Rfam says of the family: Ribonuclease P (RNase P) is a ubiquitous endoribonuclease, found in archaea, bacteria and eukarya as well as chloroplasts and mitochondria. Its best characterised activity is the generation of mature 5'-ends of tRNAs by cleaving the 5'-leader elements of precursor-tRNAs. Lineage: Bacteria; Pseudomonadati; Pseudomonadota; Gammaproteobacteria; Lysobacterales; Lysobacteraceae. The record is from Rfam by way of RNAcentral.